CUGGCGGCACGCCUAAUACAUGCAAGUCGAACGAAGUAGCAAUACUUAGUGGCAGACGGGUGAGUAACAUGUGGGUAUCUUCCCUUUGGUGAGGAAUAACACGAGGAAACUUGUGCUAAUACCUCAUAAGUCUUUACGGAGAAAGCUUUAUGCGCCAUUGGAUGAGCCCGCACUUGAUUAGUUUGUUGGUGGGGUAAUGGCCUACCAAGACUUUGAUCAAUAGCUGAUUUGAGAGGAUGAUCAGCCACAUUGGGACUGAGACACGGCCCAAACUCCUACGGGAGGCAGCAGUAGGGAAUCUUGCACAAUGG
RNAcentral lists this ribosomal RNA (311 nucleotides) under uncultured Pelagibacteraceae bacterium. RNAcentral's name for it is "bacterial SSU rRNA". It matches the Rfam family "Bacterial small subunit ribosomal RNA", at positions 36 to 374 of the family's 1533-position model. Lineage: Bacteria; Pseudomonadati; Pseudomonadota; Alphaproteobacteria; Candidatus Pelagibacterales; Candidatus Pelagibacteraceae. The record is from RNAcentral.